Benincasa hispida (wax gourd) is the source of this 869-nucleotide non-coding RNA. The record is from RefSeq and is a predicted model, not a curated record. NCBI's taxonomy places the organism in Eukaryota, Viridiplantae, Streptophyta, Magnoliopsida, Cucurbitales, Cucurbitaceae.
CUCCCUCCCUUCCCUUUUCUCCUGGGAAACACCCCCCUCGUGAAAACCCUCGUCGUCGCCCCCCUCACGAAUCUCGCCAGCCAUGAAGUUGAUUGACGUCGUGAGUCCGCCGUCGCCCAACCCUGUUUGAUUUGAGGUCAAGCUUUGCCUCGUCCAAGAUCUCUGUCAUUGCUCGUCGUCGAUCUCGACCAGUCGGCCAACCGUGUCUAUCCAAGCGCCACCCUACUCGUUCAGUCGCCCCGCCGUUGUCGAGGUCCGAUCGCACUACAGCCGAGUUUUAGAUCGGCUUGUUCCGAUCGUGAUUUUUCUGACUUCACCUUUGUCCGUUCUAGCUCUGCCACCAGCCGUCAACGCCAUUCCUUUGGGUUUCACCAGAUUUGAGUUUUGGAGUAAGAUCUAAAUGAUUUUCAUGGGUUUGUUGAGGAUCUUGAAUACCCAAUAAAUAAUGUGUUUAAUUAUCACUUCAAUCAGGAUUUUGGAGGUUGGACUUGAUAGUUUGAAGGAGUUUAAGUGACUUUUGGCAUGUUGGCGAGCAAAGUUAAAGUGAUUUCGGCAAGGAUUUUGGCUUGAUUAAGGAUUCAAGAAUUUCACAAAGAUUCAAUUGCUUUAUGAUUCGACCUAAUAUCAAGGUAAAGGUAGAGAUGCACCAGCGACUGACAAGAGGAAUCCUCGAUCGAGCCACCGGGGACUAGUUUACAUGCUUCCGCUCAUAUUUUAAUAUUUCUAUUAUGUUUUACAUUUUCAAUUUUAAGUUUCGAGACUACUAUUUCAGUUUUAUUUUUUAGACUUAUCUCUUUUCAUGAUUUAUGGGUACCCUAUCCUUUGACUUUAAGUAUUUGAAAUUAAUGCAAAUCUUUCUAGUUAUCUCA